GACGAACGCUGGCGGCGUGCUUAACACAUGCAAGUCGAGCGGUAAGGCCCUUUCGGGGGUACACGAGCGGCGAACGGGUGAGUAACACGUGGGUGACCUGCCUUUAGCUCUGGGAUAAGCCUGGGAAACUGGGUCUAAUACCGGAUAUGACUCCGCGGUGCAUGCUGUGGGGUGGAAAGCCUUGUGCGGCUGGAGAUGGGCCCGCGGCCUAUCAGCUUGUUGGUGGGGUNAUGGCCUACCAAGGCGACGACGGGUAGCCGGCCUGAGAGGACGAUCAGCCACACUGGCACUGCGACACGGGCCAGACUCCUACGGGAGGCAGCAGUAAGGAAUAUUGCGCAAUGGGCGAAAGCCUGACGCAGCGACGCCGCGU
Molecule: ribosomal RNA, 373 nt
Filed under: uncultured bacterium
Lineage: Bacteria
Description: bacterial SSU rRNA
Rfam family: Bacterial small subunit ribosomal RNA
Source: RNAcentral